UGUUCAGCAGAGAGAAGUUCAAAUCAUUUUGGGAUUUUCUCUGUAUGCUGCCAAAUCAAAGACCAAGCCAGUGAAAGUCAUAGUUUUGCCAGGCUCAACAAAGUUACUCAAAAUGAUGAUGGAGGUGAAGUUGAUGCACCCAAUGGUUGUCUAUCCAUCUUUUUGCAUCCCGGACUUUCGAGUGGGGAGAUGAAUGGUCGUUAUUUGUCCGAUAAGGAGUGAGAUGCAGCAAGAAUAUAUGUUUUGUUGAAUUGUGAGGAAAUUCAACAAUUCAUCCCAAUCUUUGAAGCUGCGUUGAAAAGAAAUUCAUAAAAUAUCAGUCUUGAAGAAAUUGACAAAGAGACGAAUAGUAGAUUUGCCAACUGGUUCGAAGCUUAUGUUCUCAAUCCAGCUGACAACAUAAGUGUUGAGCGGUUAAGAGACUUUGCUUCUGGUCCUUACAAGUGGGUGCAAACUUGGCCUCAAUAUUUUACAAAUGGCUAUAGGUUUCACACACUUAGUCAUAGCUCUAACAAACAAACAAUGAACAGUGGUGUGUGCAUAAAAGGGACAACUUGGAAUGAAUAUGAAAGUGAUUAUUAUGGAUUGCUUGGUGAGGUGAUACAACUUGAAUAUUCCAAUCCAACAAAGAAAAGAACCACUCUUGUCUUGUUCAAAUGUGAUUGGUUUGAUCCAACAAUAGGUCGAGGGUGUAAGGUUGAUAAUCAGUAUGGGCUGAUUGAUAUCAAUCAUGAAAGAAGGUUCUUGAGCUAUGCUUAUGAACCUUUUGUAUUGGCUGAACAAGCACAACAAGUCUAUUUUGCAGAAUAUCCCAGUAAAAUGAAAGAUAGUGUUGACUGGUGAGCAGUGUGUAAAAUAAAAGCUAGAAAUCAAAUUGAUUCUCCAAAUACUCCAUACCAAGAAGAUGACAAUUUACCCCCUAUAAUCCCAAAUAUCACUGAUGAUCUUAAUAGCUUACGUCACGAAAAUGGUGAAUUGGAAAUACAUGAAGUUGAAAAUGAGACUGAUGAAAUUGACCGAUAGCAUGAUAUUAAUGCUAUUGGAAGUGAUGAAGAGUCAGAGGAUUCUGAUUUUGAACUCUCUGAAGAUGAAGGAGAUGAACAAAGUGAUGAAAACUUUGAAACCGAUGAGAGUGAAUGAUAAUGAUUUUUACUGUAAUUUCUUUUCUGGAGUGUUUUCUUUUAUUACUAUUGCUACCUUUUUCUGUUGCUUGAUGUCAUUUCUGAAAACCUAAGUAUUUUUUUCGAAGUUAAAUCAUCAAUCUGUUAAAAUGGUUAUA
Solanum pennellii is the source of this 1279-nucleotide long non-coding RNA. RefSeq lists it as uncharacterized. Lineage: Eukaryota; Viridiplantae; Streptophyta; Magnoliopsida; Solanales; Solanaceae. The transcript is spliced from 4 exons. The record is from RefSeq and is a predicted model, not a curated record.